CAUGGACAUGCUGCUGCAGCCGUACGCGUGCUUGCGCACCCAGCCGAAGAACUGCUUCAGCUCCCGGCGCAGCGUGGAGUUGGAGUCGCCGCUGGACUUGGAGUCGCAGGAGCCCGACAUCAAGCGCUCUGCGGGCGAGAGUGGUUCCCGACCAUCGAGAGAACAACGCCUCCGAAGGAUCACACAUGAAUUAUUUGGAGUGAUGAAAUGAUUAAGGAGGCCGGAGAGAAGGCGAACAUAGCUCCGAAAGCUCUGAGUAAUUGCCUAAUUAAAACCAUGUGAGAGGUUCCGAUGUGGAAUCUCUCUUGUGACACUUCUAACAACCUUCAGACAUCAUCACGGACAGCGUGCUGCUAACGAGUCCAGAUCCAGGCUACGUGUGUUAGGUUAAAUAGGAUCUAUGAAGAUGGAGGACGAUUAUAGCUGUCACACACAGCGAAGGCAUGAGAAUAACUUAUAACAUAAGUGACAUGUAAUAAGACGAAGGUGUAAGUAUUUAAAAGACAACGAAACAGGAGAAUAGAAAGGGAAACAGCGUAGACGUGGGUUGAGUGCUCUGAUGUGUGGGGUCAGUGAGGAGCUUAGGAAUGAAUUGUGCCAAUGAGUUUCUACCGCAGAGAUUGUAAGAUGUGUGUUUGAGUGUGUGCUCCAGAGUAAUUGGUGCCAAAGCCAUAAAGUAGUGGCUGCAAGCUUGA
Molecule: long non-coding RNA, 695 nt
Organism: Betta splendens (Siamese fighting fish)
Lineage: Eukaryota; Metazoa; Chordata; Actinopteri; Anabantiformes; Osphronemidae
Exons: 2
Source: RefSeq, a predicted model, not a curated record